RNAcentral lists this transfer RNA (72 nucleotides) under Solanum lycopersicum (tomato). It matches the Rfam family "tRNA". Rfam says of the family: Transfer RNA (tRNA) molecules are approximately 80 nucleotides in length. Their secondary structure includes four short double-helical elements and three loops (D, anti-codon, and T loops). The record is from Rfam by way of RNAcentral. Lineage: Eukaryota; Viridiplantae; Streptophyta; Magnoliopsida; Solanales; Solanaceae.
GGCAACAUGGCCGAGUGGUAAGGCAGACGAGUGAAAAUAUAUUUUUCCCCAGUUCAAAUCUGGGUGUCGCCU